GGCGGUUCGCCGCCGGCGACGUCGCGAGAAGUUCACUGAACCUUAUCAUUUAGAGGAAGGAGAAGUCGUAACAAGGUUUCCGUAGGUGAACCUGCGGAAGGAUCAUUGUCGAAACCUGCCCAGCAGAGCGACCAGAGAACAUGUUUAACAUGAACGGGGUCGGGGUGAGAGCCCCUUCCUCAAGCCGGGGAAUCGCUCCGCCUUGGCGGGCGUCCUUCCCGGCACAAUAACGAACCCCGGCGCGGUCUGCGCCAAGGAACAUGAAUACAAGUGUGCCCCUCCGCAGCCGGUUCGCCGGCCGUGGAAGUGGCACCAAGUCGUAUAUAACAUUAAACGACUCUCGGCAACGGAUAUCUCGGCUCUCGCAUCGAUGAAGAACGUAGCGAAAUGCGAUACUUGGUGUGAAUUGCAGAAUCCCGUGAACCAUCGAGUCUUUGAACGCAAGUUGCGCCCGAAGCCAUUAGGUCGAGGGCACGCCUGCCUGGGCGUCACGCAUCGCGUCUCCCCCCACCACCCCGCGUGGAUGGGGAGGAGGAUGAUGGCCUCCCAUGCCUCACCGGGCGUGGAUGGCCUAAAUAAGGAGCCCCCGGUUAUGAAGUGCCGCGGCGAUUGGUGGAAUACAAGGCCUAGCCUAGGACGAAAUCGAAGUCGCGCACAUCGUAGCUCUUGAGGACUCGCAGGACCCUAACUUGUUUGCCCCUAGGGGCGGCAAAACCGUUGCGACCCCAGGUCAGGCGGGGCUACCCGCUGAGUUUAAGCAUAUCAAUAAG
RNAcentral lists this ribosomal RNA (770 nucleotides) under Atriplex australasica. RNAcentral describes it as "eukaryotic LSU rRNA". The stretch from base 336 to 491 matches the Rfam family "5.8S ribosomal RNA". The record is from RNAcentral. Lineage: Eukaryota; Viridiplantae; Streptophyta; Magnoliopsida; Caryophyllales; Amaranthaceae.